Molecule: non-coding RNA, 23 nt
Filed under: Arabidopsis thaliana (thale cress)
Lineage: Eukaryota; Viridiplantae; Streptophyta; Magnoliopsida; Brassicales; Brassicaceae
Source: RNAcentral
GGAGGUGGUUGAGAUGAAUAUGG